AGCAAAAUGUCCUUGUCUGCCUUCUCUUAUUGAAAAGAAGACUAAACAGUAUUUCAGGAAUGUGUUAGAAGGUUAGCUUAUUAUUCUAAGAGAAAGGAUAGGAAAAAUACCAGGGGAAACUGCUUUGGAAAAGAAGAAUAAGCAGGUGAAUUUCACCAGAUGGGACUGUGAGAUCUGAAAAAGAAAAAUGAAGAUAGAGAUGAACAAGAUACUUUCAUGAUGAUUAUAUCCUCACUCUUUUUUUCUGGGACCUACACAUCUCAGCCAUUGCCCCACAGUCCUACACAGCUGAUGAACUGUCUUGCAGCUGUUGGCCUCUUCUCCUUGCCAUACAGUAAUGUAACAAUAAGUGUUAAAUAGAGUCACAGAAACACAGAAUUACUGACUUUGGAAAAGACCACUGGGAUCAUCGAAUGCAACCACUAACACAGCUCUGACAGGCCCACCAAUAAACCAUGUUCCUAAGCACCACAUUUUUUGAAUAAAGACCAAGACAUCUUGCAGGAUAGACAGGUUGGAUCCAAAUGCUUUUUCUUUCAACAGAUUGUGCAUUUCUUCAUGCCCAUUUCCUACAUGUAAGUAUUCUUACAAGGCAUGACUUCAAUUUUCGAUUUUCACAGCACUGAAAAGCAGUUUCUCAAAUCCCGAAUUAUGCACAGUCCAUGCACAAAUUAUUCUGGUAAUAGCAAAGGGAUUAUAUAAAAAAUGUAAAAGACUGAGUAAACAAGUAGCUCCUAGUUAAAAAUCUGAACCUCUCUUUGGCUUUAGGGCAAGCAGUUCCCCUCGAAUGUGCAUCCAAUUGAAUCAUUUACCCCUCUGAGGAAGUGGUUUUUUUACAAGGAAAUGGUCCUCAGAAUCUCAGAACAAGACAGUGAUUUAGAGAUGUAUGCCUGUGUAUCUCUCCAGCCAUCACCUAUGCAUAUUUACUUGUUGGUGGUAGAACCAGAGGAGUUCCCAAGGCCUGUCCAGAUGUGUUUUUCUAUUAGAAGAGGCCAAUCAGGAACCAAUUUUGGAGGCUCUGAGUAUCUCCUGCUGCCACUCCAAAAACAGCUUGCUGAGAGAUCAACUCCUCUGAAAAUCCUGUUCUUCAGGUUUACUGCCCCCAAGAGAAGUGCAAUGGUUUACAUUAAAGCCAUUUAAAAGCAA
Long non-coding RNA from Vidua macroura (Pin-tailed whydah), 1146 nucleotides. RefSeq lists it as uncharacterized. The record is from RefSeq and is a predicted model, not a curated record. The transcript is spliced from 2 exons. Lineage: Eukaryota; Metazoa; Chordata; Aves; Passeriformes; Viduidae.